This 205-nucleotide ribosomal RNA is filed under the name Clostridioides difficile. Its description in RNAcentral is "partial 23S ribosomal RNA". It matches the Rfam family "Bacterial large subunit ribosomal RNA", at positions 58 to 263 of the family's 2925-position model. Lineage: Bacteria; Bacillati; Bacillota; Clostridia; Peptostreptococcales; Peptostreptococcaceae. The record is from RNAcentral.
GUGAUAAGCUGCGAUAAGCUUCGGGGAGUUGCACGUAAACUUUGAUCCGAAGAUUUCCGAAUGAGGAAACUCACUUAGAGUAAUGUCUAAGUAUCAUUAAGUGAAUACAUAGCUUAAUGAGGGGAACUCAGGGAACUGAAACAUCUAAGUACCUGAAGGAAGAGAAAGAAAUUCGAUUCCGUAAGUAGCGGCGAGCGAACGCGGA